This 72-nucleotide small RNA is filed under the name Flavobacterium sp. 103. Its description in RNAcentral is "Flavo-1 RNA". It matches the Rfam family "Flavo-1 RNA". Lineage: Bacteria; Pseudomonadati; Bacteroidota; Flavobacteriia; Flavobacteriales; Flavobacteriaceae. The record is from RNAcentral.
CUUUAGCCCCGAUAGUAGUGAAAAUCCUCCCGAUUUUUCUUCGGGAGAUUGCAACGGAUAGCGGGAACCAUG